AGCGAACGCUGGCGGCAGGCCUAACACAUGCAAGUCGAACGAACCUUUCGGGGUUAGUGGCGGACGGGUGAGUAACACGUGGGAACGUGCCUUUAGGUUCGGAAUAACUCAGGGAAACUUGUGCUAAUACCGAAUGUGCCCUUCGGGGGUAAGAUUUAUUGCCUUUUGAGGGGGCCGGGACUGAUUCGCUAGUUGGGUGGGGGAAUGGCUCAACAAGGCGACGGUGAGGGGCUGGUCUGAGAGGAUGAUAAGCCACAUUGGGACUGAGACACGGCCCAAACUCCUACGGGAGGGAGCAGUGGGGAAUCUUGCGCAAGGGGCGAAAGCCUGACGCAGCCAUGUCGCGUGAAUGAUGAAGGUCUUAGGAUUGUAAAAUUCUUUCACCGGGGGCGAUAAUGACGGUACCCGGAGAAGAAGCCCCGGCUAACUUCGUG
This 434-nucleotide ribosomal RNA is filed under the name uncultured bacterium. Its description in RNAcentral is "partial 16S ribosomal RNA". It matches the Rfam family "Bacterial small subunit ribosomal RNA", at positions 29 to 507 of the family's 1533-position model. The record is from RNAcentral.